RNAcentral lists this ribosomal RNA (498 nucleotides) under uncultured bacterium. Its description in RNAcentral is "partial 16S ribosomal RNA". It matches the Rfam family "Bacterial small subunit ribosomal RNA", at positions 30 to 523 of the family's 1533-position model. The record is from RNAcentral.
AUUGAACGCUGGCGGCAUGCCUUACACAUGCAAGUCGAACGGUAACAGGUCUUCGGAUGCUGACGAGUGGCGAACGGGUGAGUAAUACAUCGGAACGUGCCCGAUCGUGGGGGAUAACUACUCGAAAGAGUACCUAAUACCGCAUACGAUCUACGGAUGAAAGCGGGGGAUCUUCGGACCUCGUGCGGACGGCGCCGCCGAUGGCAGAUUAGGGAGUUGGUGGGAUAAAAGCUUACCAAGCCGACGAUCUGUAGCUGGUCUGAGAGGACGACCAGCCACACUGGGACUGAGACACGGCCCAGACUCCUACGGGAGGCAGCAGUGGGGAAUUUUGGACAAUGGGCGAAAGCCUGAUCCAGCAAUGCCGCGUGCAGGAUGAAGGCCUUCGGGUUGUAAACUGCUUUUGUACGGAACGAAAAGACUCCUUCUAAUACAGGGGGUCCAUGACGGUACCGUAAGAGUAAGCACCGGCUAACUACGUGCCAGCCGCCGCCGUAA